RNAcentral lists this ribosomal RNA (253 nucleotides) under uncultured bacterium. RNAcentral describes it as "partial 16S ribosomal RNA". It matches the Rfam family "Bacterial small subunit ribosomal RNA", at positions 524 to 776 of the family's 1533-position model. The record is from RNAcentral.
UACGUAGGGUCCGAGCGUUGUCCGGAAUUAUUGGGCGUAAAGGGCUCGUAGGCGGUUUGUCACGUCGGGAGUGAAAACUCAGGGCUCAACCCUGAGCGUGCUUCCGAUACGGGCAGACUAGAGGUAUGCAGGGGAGAACGGAAUUCCUGGUGUAGCGGUGGAAUGCGCAGAUAUCAGGAGGAACACCGGUGGCGAAGGCAGAUCUCUGGGCCGUAACUGACGCUGAGGAGCGAAAGCGUGGGGAGCGAACAGG